Molecule: long non-coding RNA, 611 nt
Organism: Uranotaenia lowii
Lineage: Eukaryota; Metazoa; Arthropoda; Insecta; Diptera; Culicidae
Exons: 3
Source: RefSeq, a predicted model, not a curated record
CAACCACGCUCGAGACCAUGCAUCACUAUCAGUUAUCGGUUAACCGUCAAACAGGCUGUGCUAUCGUGUACGAUAUAACUACAACCGUGAUUCCGCUUUAUUUGAUACGGUGAUAUACGGUGUUCUGAAGAUAGUAUCCAAUAAGUUAUUACAAGUGCCUGACCGGUAAUGCAGCUUUGAGGCUGACACUUAGAAUUCGCGCGUUUAAUGCAUGCUGUAAAUUCGAUCGUUGAGGAAGUCGCCAGCGUUAAAACCGAGAUAUCUUUUGUCUCUAUUGUUAUUUCUGGCCUGGUAAAUUCAACGAUGCGGGACUAAGUAAUUUGAGGUGGAGAUGAGAGAUCGACCUAUUUGUUCCUGAGCUAAAAUUGAUUGUCGCAUAAUUAUCUGGAGUGGCUUCUCUAGCACAAUGGCGCCAUGAGCCUACCCAAGCCAAAUGGGUUUUGGCUUCAAUUGCAUGUGCAUGCUAGAGAAGAUGGCGGACAUCGCGGGAUACACUAUUUUUUAAGACACAAACACUUACACACACACACACACACAUUAAUAGUUUUAAGUUGAAUUUUUUUUAAUAAUCAAUUAGUUUAUAAGUAGUUAGGGUAAGUUAUAAAUAAAGC